AUGUUCGCCGGGCAGCUCUGCGACCUCGCGCUCUCCGGUGAUGAAUCAUCCGCCGCGGCACCGUCGUGCAGCUCGACGCGCACGGCAGAGGGCGGCUCCUCCCCAGCCUUGCCGCCUUCCUCCGCGCGGUUCUGCUCGGGUGACGAUGCGGUGCAGCUACGACGAGGACCGCCGACCAGGCGCCUUCAAAUCCUCAGCCCCAUGAAGCAAGCCCGAGGAGGAGGACAAGUUCCUGGGGUCCUCAUCGCCAUUGCAGGGGACUUUGGUUGCUCUGCUCUAGGGCCAGCAUAUUUGCACCAUGAUUGCUCACCGGGGAUCGCCCUCCACCAGGACAUCAAAGCCAGCAACAUCCCUACUGGACAGAUGCUUGGAGUCGAGAGCAACUUCCUUCUCAACGGAGGGGUUUCAGAGGGCGAAGCCGGUCAUCAUCGAUCCGGGGCUCUACAUGGAGAAGGUGGACGUGCUCUAGAUACCACAGUGCCGGAGCGUGCCAACAGGCUUCAAGCUCUUCACCGGAGAGCUAGUUCCUCAAUUUCUUGGGGUUCAUGUGGAAUCGCUCUCUCAUGGGUCAUGGCGUCGGCCGCCAUCAUGGCCAUUGCGCUAGCAAACGGAGGGGGUAAGCCACUG
Molecule: ribosomal RNA, 627 nt
Filed under: Triticum aestivum (bread wheat)
Lineage: Eukaryota; Viridiplantae; Streptophyta; Magnoliopsida; Poales; Poaceae
Description: partial small subunit ribosomal RNA
Source: RNAcentral